Molecule: long non-coding RNA, 486 nt
Filed under: Homo sapiens (human)
Lineage: Eukaryota; Metazoa; Chordata; Mammalia; Primates; Hominidae
Description: HSALNT0156362
Source: RNAcentral
CAGGGACUCAGGGCCACGCCGCUCUGGCUGAUGGCUCGCCGGAUGAGGCCCUUGUUGUAGGGGGAGAGGGUCUACGGGACCCAGAAAUCCCGUCACCAAGGCCGCUCCCCACUCUGCCCACCCCACGCUGGGACAAGGACACCCCAGCACCACAGCCCCAGCUCCACGCUCCUCCUCCCACCCUCCCCUUCCCGUUUGAGCUUCCUCUCAACCUGUGGGGCAGGCCCUCCCCACAGGGAUCCCGAGACCUGCAGAGAGACGCUGGCACCUCCAGCAGACUCCCCGAAGAGCGUGAUGUUAUUGGCGUCCCCAGUGCUGAGGAACCCAAGGGGGCCGACACGGUAGUUGAAGGUGACCACGAUGACGUUUCCGCGUGUGGCGAUCUCCUCGCCGUCAUACAGGCAGUCUUCAUCCCCGUAGGUGCUGUCCUGGGUGAUGGUGGCCUGCAGGCAUCUCUUCUUGAAGUUCUUGGCCUUCAGGGUCCCU